GGAGACAGUGUAAUGUUCAGGCCAAUACAUUCUAGUUCAUUAUCACAUGACCACUCAAUUUGUUUACAUCGGAUAUGUUCUUUAAUGUAAAUCAUCACACCCCCUCCUCUUCCUUCAGUCCUGUCUCUCCUGAAAACAUUGUAGCCAGGCACAAUCAAAGCAGCAGAUGGAGAGUUUUUAUGGAGCCAUGUCUCUGAGAGGCAGAGAAAGUCAAGGUUGGAGUCUGUGAGUAGAUGUUGAAUUUGAUCACUUUUUGGAAUGACACUACGAAUGUUCAAGUGCCCCCCUAGUAGUCCCUUGGGUUUAGCUCGUGGGUCCCAGAUGACUCGAGAGUGAUUGACACAUUGAAAAAAGUUAAAUUUUCUGUGUUUUCUGACGGCUGGGUUUAGGCCGUUUUGAUUAGGGACAGUUCGGUAGCGCAAUUAACAAUCCCUCCCGCCUGCACUGGAUGCGGGGAACUAAUUAAAACAGCUUGCGUACCAGAAGCAGAGUCAGGGAUCGCAUAUAGCGACUUUGGUAUGUUUGAAGAGUCAAAAUCUAUCCUGGAGCCGGGUGAGUCGAGAGAAACCAUAGGACCAUAGCACUCACCCACUUCCACAGCGGCGACGAUCAGUGGACGAGGCCAUCCACCGCUUUCCACUCCGGUGCGUAUCGCUGGCUCGGUGAUGUUGGGCCCAGGAUUGAGUUGCACAUCCCCGGAGAGCAGGAGGGUAGUGAACAGAACCUGGCCACCGUGGCAGACUUUGCUGUGAUUCUGGACACCAUCCCUCUGACGAUGAACUGUCUGUACAUGGUGUGGAUCAUCUCCAGCUACUACAACAAGGAUGAACGCAUGGAGCCCUUCACGGAGCGCAUUGCCCGGGAGCUGUCUGUGUGCGUGGCUCAUAUCAUCAAUGUCCACCUGCUCUGUUUGUGCACCAGCUUUCUGCUAUGAUUAUGAAUACAUGGGGCUGAAUGGUCAUCUGGUCAUCACCCAGCCGACUGACCGCAUCUACCUCACCCUCACACAGGCUGUGGGUAAGAUUUUGUCUGGCCUGGCCCAGUGUGUUGCCUGGGGCUGCUUUGAUGAAUUCAACCUCAUCGAUGACUCUUGCUGUCUGUCAUCUACUCCCAGAUCCAGACCAUCCGCAAUGCUCUCAUCCUGCACCUCAAAGUGCUUCCAUGUGGGUUAUUAUGGCACACAGUCAUUUCUUUGAUGUCUGGAGACUGCCUGGACAGUUCUGGAUACAAAAACAUUGCAAUUUGAUUUUCAGGGCCUGGAGAUCAGCAUGGACGACCGCAUGGGAAUCUUCAGCACUAUGAACCCUGGCUACGCUGGACGCACAGAGCUGGGCGCACAGAGCUGGGCGCACAGAGCUGGGCGCACAGAGCUGGGCGCACAGAGCUGGGCGCACAGAGCUGGGCGCACAGAGCUGGGCGC
Molecule: long non-coding RNA, 1420 nt
Organism: Salvelinus fontinalis (brook trout)
Lineage: Eukaryota; Metazoa; Chordata; Actinopteri; Salmoniformes; Salmonidae
Exons: 4
Source: RefSeq, a predicted model, not a curated record